UUGCGUAGGUGGUUUGUUAAGUAGGUAGUGAAAUCUGGCGGCUCAACCGUACAGGCUAUUACCUAAACUGGCAAACUCGAGAAUGGUAGAGGUAACUGGAAUUUCUUGUGUAGGAGUGAAAUCCGUAGAUAUAAGAAGGAACACCGAUGGCGUAGGCAGGUUACUGGACCAUUUCUGACACUGAGGCACGAAAGCGUGGGGAGCGAACG
RNAcentral lists this ribosomal RNA (209 nucleotides) under uncultured bacterium. Its description in RNAcentral is "partial 16S ribosomal RNA". It matches the Rfam family "Bacterial small subunit ribosomal RNA", at positions 567 to 774 of the family's 1533-position model. The record is from RNAcentral.